This is a long non-coding RNA of Panicum virgatum (switchgrass), 1195 nucleotides long. RefSeq lists it as uncharacterized. NCBI's taxonomy places the organism in Eukaryota, Viridiplantae, Streptophyta, Magnoliopsida, Poales, Poaceae. The transcript has 6 exons. The record is from RefSeq and is a predicted model, not a curated record.
UAAAACAAUAAUCGGGUUAUUUAGUGUCUGAUUACAUCCAAUUGUUACAUGCACAAAUUAAUAAUCCAAAUAUACUACUCUUUGCAAAAUAAGCUGUAGUCUUUACAAAGAACUACUCCGUGAUGGUGGACUUCUCCGUGCUGGUCACCGGGGGCGCCGGCUACUCCGUUUGGAGGAUGUCAGGCAUUCACUUCCCCUGACAGCUGCUGAUGCAGUUGCAACCAACGGUGUGAACCCUUGGAAUUGGAGAGACACCUCAACUAAUGGUGGAGAUAAUCAGGGCACUUUUGGUGGGAGAGUCAUUUUAGUCAAGUGGGGUGAUUACACUAAAAGAAUAGGAAUUGAUGGUACUUCUGAAGCAAUUAAGGAAGCCAUCAAAACAGCAUUUGGACUAAGAACAAGACGAGUUUUCUGGCUUGAAGAUGAUGCUUUAGUGUGGCCAUUGGCUUCUUCAUCCUGAGCCAUAGCAUCGAUUUCUCCAGCCUCGCUUCCUCCAGUUAUGAUUUCAUCAACUAAUUCUUCUAGAGGAGUACAAUUGAUGUCUAGGAAAAAAGGUGUUGCCAGAUGAACAGCUACAAGAACAAUAAUGAGACAAGACAAUUAGAUUCAAUCAAAUAUAUCAGUGUCUGCUCUAGUCAUUUCAACAUGGUUAAAUCUGUAUGAAUCAUUAGUGGCAUUCUGUUGUCAGCUAUAAGUAUGCAUAAAGGGAAUCAUCACAUUUUUUUAGCAAGGGACAAUGUCUUCUUCAUCUUGAGCCAUAGCAUCAAUUUCCUCGUUGCCUACAGCCUCAUCUCCAGAGUAUGAAGCAUGUACCUGCAGCUUGAAUGGGAGCAUCGCCUUCCUUGCCAGCUGCGUUCUCACCUUCAGCAGAUAUGUUGAAGACGAGGGCAGAGUAGCUGGCCACGAGGACUGCUCGGUGAGAUGCAGAGGAUCUGCUUACUUGCUUGUCGGAGAUGGCGGAGAGCUCCUUGCUUGUGGGAGGGCCAGCUGGCUGGCUGCAGCAGCGAGGGCUAGCCGUAGCGAUCGGCAGGAGGGCCUGCCGGCUGGCCGCAGCGAUUGGCGGGAGGGCCCGCCGGCUGGCCGCAGCAGCGAUCUGCGGGAGAAUCACAGUGUGCUUGCGUGCGUGGAUCACGGAGGGUGGCCGACGGGUUCAAAUUUUAAAUUGUUCGCUUGCGUGCGUGUGGAUCAUGGGUGG